This 2325-nucleotide long non-coding RNA is filed under the name Zea mays. RNAcentral describes it as "long non-coding RNA (ZMAY_LNC000967)". The record is from RNAcentral. Lineage: Eukaryota; Viridiplantae; Streptophyta; Magnoliopsida; Poales; Poaceae.
UGUCAGAUCUUUACUACAUAACAGGAAUUCUAUACAAAAUAAAUAAUUACAUUAUAAGGAGACAACGAUCCAGCAACCCAAAGUUGACUGGGAGACGAUGGCCUAGAUCUCUCACGAACACAUCACAGCAUCCUCCAAGUGCCUCAUCCUGUGGUACCUGUUCUUGACCUGUGGGGGGUGUGAGACAACAAGAGUGAGCUCACAUACGAUCAUAGCUCAACAAGUUGUGGGGAAUAAUGUGCAUGAACUCGCCAAAGGUGGGAGCUCACAUGAAGUGUAAGGCUUACCAAAGAGGAUGGUUAGAGCUGAGCAUUACUUUUAAAGUUGGUCAAAAUUUUAUUAGCAGUUACUAAGUAUAAGUAAAUACCAACCCAAUUAAAUAGUAGAACAAAAGUAACAACCUCACCUGCGAUGCAAUGCAUAUGACAAAUUGAAUUUAGUUCCAUAAUUUAAUCAUGUGAGUGUCCGAGCUACUCAUGACCGUGAGCAUGGCUAGUAUACCAGUUUUACACUCUGCAGAGGUUGCGCAUCUUUACCCACAAGUCAUGUUACCCAUCCGCCAAGGGAUCGUGACUUCCCAUACACCUCUGCCGAGGAGGCGAGGCAGGGUAACACUACGAGGCCUUUACAAAGUUCCACAAGCUUCAGAAAACCCGCUACAGUUUAUAGGAAGCUACAAUGCAGGGACCCCUCGCAUGACCGCCAUCGCAGCAAAACCAUCCCAAGGACCUCCCCACACUGACCACUCCCCUACUGCCCUUGCCCCUUUCGGGUAAGGUAAUCAUCCACUAGCUUUCCUAGUUAAUCAGCCAAGGGCGUCCAUAAACCCUUGUGGUAGCACUGUUUUCCAGGGUGGUUCUCCAUGUUCUAAUUAACAUAAUGAUCUUAACAUGAACAAUAAAUAACAACUGAUAACAAAAGUAUAAUCAUGAAUAGUGUAAUCUACAUACCCAAAACCACAUAAAGCAAUAGCAGGUAGUACCCAAAAAGUUUAGUGGAGUCAAGGUAUAAAGAUAAUCAAACUAGGGUAACCUGUUAGGUCCCAUCAAAAUUAACCUAUGCAGAUCAUUAUGAUUAAUCAGAACAUGACUGGGUAAAAAGAAGUGAUCAAGGGCACAACUUGCCUGGGACUUGAGAUACCAGGUACCGGGAUGAUCUUCAGAUGACUCGUGACCUCACGCUAGUCGUAGCAAUACAAACAAACAUGGUAUACACAAAAUUAACAUCACACCAACAGGAACUGCGUAAUAAUAUUCUACGCGCCAUAACGAGAUCGUAGAAACAAGGACCACUAAAUUCGGAGCUACGGUUAUUAAGUUAUGAAUUUUCGAAAUUAUUUAGUGCUUAGAAUAGAUUAAUCCUAAUGAACAAUUUUAAUCCAAGUUUCAUGGCUAAACAGAUAUACUAAAUGAUAGAUAAUAUUAAAACAAAACUAUUGCAACUAGAAUGAAUCAAUUUGGAGCUAAAAUGAAUUAAAUAUGAAUUCUACAAGUUUUUGGAUUUAUUUUUGUAUUAAAAAUCCAUUUCUAAUAUUAAUUUCUGAAUAUCCUAAGUGUUCUGGACUGGGCACAAUAUUUCUUAAAAGAUUAGGGGCCUAAAUCACAAUUUUCCCAAGACUCAGUAUUCCCACAGUGUGGACUGCGGGUUUAUUUAAAAUAAGUGCGGGGGUUCUUUAUGAAUUAUGCCAUGGCCGAAGGGGUAUGGGAAAAUUAGAGUCGUCCGAUUAGAAACGGGCCGACCAGAUCGGGCCUAGGCAUUAAUGAAGUGGAACGUGCAUACCUACCUUUGGAUCUUGGAUCAGCGGUGCAGAUUUAAGGCGCGAAGGGAUACAUAUCAUCAAAUCUCGACUGUAAUCUAGAGAUCCGACGGCCCAGAUCAAACUGCCGCACGCAUUGAUCUCCACCGUUCAUCAGAAAUGGACGGUCACUGGGUCAUCUCCCACCUUCUAUCCGAGCACGACGGCGCGGCUAGAUCCGUGGCGGCGGCUGGGCGUGGAUCGAGGAGGAGAGGGAGAUGCUGGCCCUCCAUUGCCGCAGCGGUGCUGCCCGGUUCGCCCUCGAAAUCGCCGUCCAAGCAAUCUCUCCGUGUGGGACACGGUAGCGACAUCGAAGCUCUUUCUCUCUCUGCGCGGCAAGGAGCUCUCGGCGACCAGAUUCCACCGGGUUUGUGGCAAUGGGAAAAAUUGGCGCAGAUGGAUGAGGAAAGGGGGUCACGGCGGUCGGCCUUUAUACACCUGAUGGGCAGAGUCCGAUUGCCAGAGAGCUCGGACGGUUCUGUUUAGCUAAUUCGAAGUUUGCGACGAAGAUAACUGCUUCGACGCGAAUC